RNAcentral lists this small RNA (75 nucleotides) under Sinorhizobium meliloti 2011. RNAcentral describes it as "putative ncRNA". Lineage: Bacteria; Pseudomonadati; Pseudomonadota; Alphaproteobacteria; Hyphomicrobiales; Rhizobiaceae. The record is from RNAcentral.
GAAUAUUCGUCGUUGACGAAGGGACCGAAGACACCAGAAGGCAGGUUGCGGGCUUCAUCCCCCAACUUCUUGCGC